AUACCUCAGGCACAGGGGAGCCAGAAGCCUUGCAGUCAACUUGGAAAUCUUUCCCAUGGAGUACUUGCUUCUUAAAAUGCUGCUUGUGUUCAAUUUUGGCAGGUGUCAGUCUUAGGCGGACAUGCAUCAGGACCAGGUCAUCUCCCAUUUUGUUUCUUGCCACACAUAAGUAGUCACCACCAUCCUUUUCUGUCACCGAUCCAAUAACCAAGGAGCCAUUUGGGUAGACAUGGAUCCGGCUGCCCAUUCUAAGGAGAGAAGAGACAAGCGUGAGAAUGCAGCGGGGAGAAUUGGGGCUUAGGAGAUGACUCAGUUGGGAAGCUGCCUAGUGCACAAUUUUCAGACCUGAAUUUGGAUCUCCAGCGCCCACAAAGAGUUAGGCAAGGUGGUCACAUCCAUACCCCCAGAAUGGACACAGCUGGCCCCCGGAGCUUGCUCGACAGCUGGUGUACCUGAAAGUACCUACAGCUCUAGGCUCAGUGAGAGGCCCUCCUGAGAGUAAGGUGGAAGCAAUUGUGUAAGACCCCAAUGCUUAUUUACUUCUGGCCACCACACAUGCACACACCAAAAUGAACGAGCAUACCUUGCACAAACACAUAAAAAGACUAAAUAUUGUCACCAAUGUAGACACAUUUACAGAAUAUUAUACUAUGUAGAAGCAGCCUUAUUUAUAGGAUGUUACUUCCCUCCAGCCUUACUAAGAGCUGACUGGCACAGUUGUACAUACAUGUAAGUAAUUUAGUAGGAAAUUGUGACACAUAGAUAAAAUGAAAAUGAUUAUCACGAUCAAGCUCAUCACCUUGUCACCUUUCCUUCUUCCUCUUCUUCUCUCCCUCUCCCUUUCCCUUUUCCUCCCCCUCUCCUCCUCUUUCCUUCCCUCUCUCUCUCUAACAUGGCAUUAUCUUUAUGGAUUAUUUUUUAAAGCUGUUAAAAUGAAGACCAAAGUCACUUAUUGUUAUCUAAGCCAUUUGCUUAAAAAAGCUUUGUAACAAAGCAUAAUUUGCUGGAGACAGUAUUAUUUUCGAAAUGGCCUUCAAUCAGCUCUUUUUUAUACAACUUUUAGAAACAGCUCACUGGUGAGAAGGAUGCUGGAAGUAGCCAGUUCUUAAGACAUUUUAUAUAUCAAAUGGAUCCACAAAAAUAGCAUAUCCUGCUAAUGAAAAACAACUCGAGGGUAUGUGCUGAGUUAAUGCCUGAUGCUAAUUUUUAAAUGUGUUAACGAAGCAACUUUUUAGUUAUUUAACUAGAAGCAAUCUGUCCAUUGCCUGCUGCAGAGGACAGCAUUCUAGGAUGAAUUAGAAGUUGAAUCACCUGCUGCGUAAUUGACACAGUUGACCACCAGGUGGCAGACCCUAGCUUUAGUGUUAAGAACAUGCUCAAACACACCUGUGUUUUUCCCCCUUUCUUUUGACAACAUGAGGUAAACAGAAUACUUGGAGCUCAGGCUUCAAGGCAAGAAUGUUUGAGAAGUGAUGUGGGGUAGGUCUAGGCAUUGGUGUUCUGGCGUGAUGGUUAUGUGUAGCAGACACUAAGGACUAAAGCCCUAAAUGUUGGUUCUUGACAGUCCCUCCCUUAAACUGUGUUACACUGUAUGGGACCAGACUUACGCACAUUGCUUGGUUUCUCGUAACAGUGAUUCAGAUAGAGCUGGUCAGGGACAUUGACCUCGUGCUUAGGAAAAUUCUCAAGUUGCUUACAUGGGCCAUUAAGUUUGAGACCCAGACUCAAAUUCUAGUGUGCAUCACAAUUACCUGAGGGGCUUCUAAGAACACAGACUCUUUAUCAAAACAAUCCCUGCUUCUGAUUCAAGUUCUUGGUUAAUAUUAAUGAUACUGGUAAAGAGGCAACCUUAAAAAAAAAAAACCUAAGGUGACAAGCCUCAAAUCUGAUCCACCAUCGUUACAAUAUGUAACAUCCUCCAUUAACCAACACUUGAAGAAUAGUGACAUAAGAAAAGGCUUAUCUGCUUCGGAGAGGGCUGGGAACUACCAAGUAGCUUUGAAGUAAAAAAACUUCAAAAAGAGACAAAACAUCAGUUUGACAAGACUGUCUUUCCUUCAGCUGUCAACUUGGCAAGGCCUAAAAUUAACUGAGAGUCUCAAUUGGUGGGUUUUUGCAUACUACACUGGCCUGUGAAUAUGUCUGUGCAGGAUUGUGUUGAUUGACAAAGGGAUACCAGCCCUCCCUAGUUGACACCAUCCCUAAACAUUUUGGUCUGACCUGUGUAAGAAAUCUAGCAGAACAUGAUUCAGUAAGCAAGCAAGCAGCAUGUCUUCAUGCUCCUUCUUCAAGUUCCUGCCUUGAGUCUGCCUUGAGUUCCAACUGUGAGUUCUCUCAAUGUUGGACUAUAACCUGUAAGCUGAAAUAAGCCCUCUCUUCCCCUGAAUUGUCUUUGGUCAUAGUGUUUGUCACAGCACCAAGAAUAAGCUAGGACAAAGGUGAUAUAACAGGUAUAAAUAUAUGCACUUGAUAUGGUACCACCUGGAUAUAUAAUAUAUAAUAUUAUUAGAUAUAAUAUUAGAUCUAAGGAAUUAAGUUCAAUGCAAUGAUAGUAGAUAUGUCAAUAUUUAAUUUUUAAUAUACAUAUAUACAUAGAAAAACAUAUACAUAUAUGUAUAUACAUACACAUAUAUACGGAAAAACUAAGAAAAACCUGAGUUGGACCACACUAUAGAGAAAACUGAUCUAAUACACUUUUAAGGAUACUUCAUUCAACCAGUGUAACACACAGUCAUAUCAUCAGCACAUGGAAUUUUCUCUAGGUGAGUUCACAUGUCAAGUGUCAAAUUUUUAAAAAUUUAAAUUUUAUUGUAUUUCUUUUCAGACAAGUGAAAUUCAUUAAGAAUGAAAAGCCAUAUAGUAAAGUGGAAAUUAAAUAACAUGCUACUAAGUGGACAGAAGGCAAUUGAAACUUAAAAGAGAAUUGUAAGAACAUUAAAAUUGCAACAAACUAUCAAAACUGUAUGAUAGAAAAAUCAGUAUUGAGAAAAAUUUAUAACAUGAUAUGCAAUCUUAAUAAAAAGUUUUCAAACACAGGAUCCUCAAGGACUUAGGGAAAC
RNAcentral lists this long non-coding RNA (3059 nucleotides) under Mus musculus (house mouse). RNAcentral describes it as "long non-coding RNA chr3:59320126-59323185". The record is from RNAcentral. Lineage: Eukaryota; Metazoa; Chordata; Mammalia; Rodentia; Muridae.